Ailuropoda melanoleuca (giant panda) is the source of this 3683-nucleotide long non-coding RNA. NCBI's taxonomy places the organism in Eukaryota, Metazoa, Chordata, Mammalia, Carnivora, Ursidae. The record is from Ensembl.
AUGCCAGGGGCCUUGGGAAAAGAGGGUAGUGUUCUCGUAGGAGGAAGAGCGCUCCUGAGCUCAGCUGCAGUACUAGAACUGAAAGGAGCCAGCCACGCUUGGGGAAAACCCCCACCACGCUCCCAGAUCGAGUCACCAGUGCCUGUGAGAGCAGCUGCUGGAAUCGGGAUAGGCGCCAUCCACCCCCGUGAGCAGCAGCGGGACGGGAUGGAGGCACAGCCCUGGCGGGAGGCACGCCACCCCAGAAGGAGGCUGGGCACCGACCACCGGCCCUUUCCAGCCCAAAGGCCUGGCGGACUGAGCUCUCGAAAGCACUGAUGGGGCCGCACCACUGACCUCGAGCCAGCGCAGCGACAGCACGUCCCCACCUCGGGCAGGGCUGGCCCACGGCGGCCAGAGCAGCAGCCCGAAUCCGAACAUCGCACCUUUCCAGGUAGGAUUCUAACCCAGAGACUGACGACCUGCCCCCUUGGGUACUUCCUGUCCUCCAAACCUAGGAAACGAGAGCUCUUCCAGUGACAGAAUCUGUCAUUCAAGCUGCACGAAGGCUGUUUCAAGGGCAGCCAACCUGGGACAGCCGAGCAGCCUCCCUGCUGCGCGUCCGGGCACACUGCAGAGUGUGGGCGCCCCGAGCCGGGAGGAGGGAAACCCUGACACCUCACAACCUCUUAGGAAACCAAGUUCGGAGAAGAAGAGCAAAAACAACACAAAACGAGACAUCUCAGGAAAAGGCAAGCUGUCUGACAUGCGUGGAGAGCUGUAUUAGUGUUGCUUCGACCCCGGGAUACAGCCUGGCCUCUCCCUGCCUCGCCUGGUGUGUGUGUGGCCUGUGGUGUGGAUGAGGUUACCAGUAUCAGCGGCAUAUUGUCAGGUGCUGAGAAAUGUGAGAUGUAUUCUUUUGUAUAUAUACGCAUAUAAAAAUAAGAGUGAGGUAGAUAAAUGCUUGAAAACCAAAACCAAAACCAAAAAAAAAAAAAAACCAAACAAAACCCAACAAAAGCAAAAAAAACCCAAAAACUGUCCUGUCUUAAACAUACACACACACACACACACACACACCACACACAAAACCCUUUUCUCAGUAUUUAAAUUCUUAAUGGGGCUUCUCUACAGUGAUUGAAACUGGUAUCACAAAAUAAAUUAAAAGAAAACUCCUACAUAUAAUACCUUCUUAAUUAACUUUUUUCUUUUUUCUCAUUUUUUUUAAGGGAAAAAAACUAUGGGACAGAGGCUAGAGAAAAUCGCAGGACUGAAGCUACCGACAAGCAGAAAAGCACUACACACUUGCUUUCUCGUGUUUAAUCUCCAGUCACAACUAGCAAUCAUAUUUGAGCUUUGUUCUUACUCAUAAUUUAAACAUUUCCAUCCCAGAAGCAACUCGUGUGCUGUCAUCACUCUGGUGAGAAGUGCUAAAAACUAAACAAAACAAGACCCCCCCGGGCCCCGAGGACUUGGAUUCCUGGCCAAGGAAAAGCGCGCCAGCGCCCGGGCUCUGGUCCCCUGGGAGCCAGCACGGGGGGACUCCCCGGCCAUCGCGGUGGUGCUCGCCCCGACCUGGCCCUCCGGCUGGCAGACCUGGCGGGGCACCUGCCGCCACCCCGAGGGGGCUGCCCCUGCCGCCCCCUCCUCGCCAGUGCCCAGGAGGUGCCUGGGGAUUUUGGGGUUCUAAAGACAGGUAGGUCGGUCUGGAGGGUGGUGGCGGGAGCCGCAGAGGGGCCCACUGCACCCUGGGACUCAGCAGCUGGUUCUCAUGGGAUGGAAGGAUUAAAUAUCCAUAAAAAAAAUAGUAAUCCAAAUGCCUAGUGUCUGCAGUUAAAACUGCUGUUGUACCCAAGAAUUAAAAAAAUAGAUAUAUGUGUGUCACAACCAAAACAAAGGUGAGGGAAAGAGAAGGUGAGACUUUCCAACAAGGGUGACUAUAAACACUGAACAAGGAUGUGCGAAAUAUUUAACCUUUUUUUUCUGACCUGAGUUUGUAUCAUGUCUUGCACUGUAACAGACUCCAGCGCUGUGAGAGCAGGCUGAGGAGUGGGGUGCCAGCACGCCAGGGCCUGCCCCUGGGGGUGCCGCCUGCUGCCCGCCUGCUUCCCUCGCCAGCCUUGUGCCCACAGAGCCUCCGGGUUAGAACAUAACUAACGGGCAGGGGGAAUGGGGAGGGGAGGGUGUAUUUAUAAAAAGGCAUCAAACAGUUCAUGGCAAAUUAUGUCAUAGAAGUAUCAGUUACUGGGAAGAGAGGAAGAAAGUCACGCACGCUAGUACAAAGCAUAAUAAGAAGUUUCUUGGAGUGAGCAGAAAGGGAAGAAGGGUCGACCUGAAGGUUUUCAUAGAUUAAAUCCACAAAGAUAAAGGACAAAAAAAAUAGCAGCUUUUUUUUUCUGUACAGACGUAUAGAUGAAUAUCUGAACCGUAAAAAAGUUAUAAAAGUGACAUUAAAGACGAUGUGUAUGCAAAUGUUUCAUGGUCUAACAUAGAACUGUAAGACCCAUGAAGAAGUCCUAGUAACAGAGAAAAUGUCAACAAAGCUUAGAAUGCUUGAAUCCAUUUACUGCUUUUCUUCUUACUGUUGUGGUGGUGUUUGAAUUUCUUUCCUUGCAAACCUGCAUAAACAGUUGGGCUGAGUCCCUGGAAACCCCUUCCCAUCUGUGUCGCGGGGGGCCGGGAGCGGGGGGCCGAGGUGGGGGGACAGGAGACUGGCACGUGGACGACCUUUCCUUAAAGCCUGUCUGCCAGGCUCUCGACAGGGCCUGUUUUCUCCAGAAUUCCUGGGGGCUAGCAGGUGGGGGUGGGGAAGAGGGGGUUCAGCCUCUCCUAGUCUCCACUGAGAGAAAAAUCCCAUUCUGUCCACUUCCCCCAAAUAAUAACCUAGUCAAAAGCAACUAGACCUGUGUGAACGUAAGACUGGAAAAGAACACCAGGGGCAAUCGGAUGGAGUGCAGCCUCAACGUGGCUCUUAAAUGGCGUGACUAGAUACCAUGCUCGCCCCAUGCCUCUGGAAACAAGGAAAUAAGUGCCGGGAUCGGGAGGGAGGAAGUUGAGGGUUUUGGCAGAAUUUGGCAGCAUUAAAAUGGUUACAACCUUGAAUGAAUGAUGGCCCUUUUUCAAUUUCGUAAGUCCCUAAAAAGGUGAAAGAUAGUUAAAAAAAUUCCGUCUCAACGUGUUUGUUUGUUUUUUUUUUUAUAAAGACCUACGGUGACAGGCAGGUGUGUACGGGGGCAAUGUGGGGCCACUGGGAGGGACAGCCAGUUCCUCAAUCUGAUCAAAAGGGCGUCCCGGCUGGGCUUGCGGCAAAGGUUUUUUCCAUUAUGAAGCAGAAAGAAAGAGAAAGGUGAGAGAGAGAAAAGGGAAAGAGGGAGGGAGGGAAGGAGGAAGGGCGGGAGACAGGUCUGAGAGAAGUGACGGGGAAAGCGUGAGGAGACUCGAUUCUCGAAUGUUCUGUUGCUAUUAAGUGUUGCCAUUAAGGUUCUUAAAGGCCCAUGUCAGUUAAGGGUUCGGGCAGGGAAAUAAAAAGCUGCUUGCAUAUUGAAAAAAGGAACAUCCCAAAUGUGUUUACUGCAGAGAAGCCGUCUCCCGUGGGCAGCAUUGGCAGUUCUGAAGAUCCACUGAGGUACAGGAGGCUGUGAAUAGAUUGUUAAAACUCUCUCCCCCCACCCGCCGCCCAGCGUGCACACACGUUACUGUUUGCA